AGUUUGGGAUGGCAUUUUAAGGGAAAGACAAGGAGAGACAGAUAGAUAGACAGGCAGAUUAGGCAUUAGGCAGGGAUUUAGUGACAAGGCCAGGGGAAAAUGUAAAGUCAAAUCACAGGGAUCAGCACAUUUUACCCAGCAAUCGGACAGGAGUUUGUACAAAUGGACUUGUAAGAGCUGUCGACAUACCUCCUCCUUCCUGCUGUCUCUCCUUUUGUAACAUGUUGGCUGCAUAGCAAUCCGACUUUCGAUUCCCGUGCAUCAUCUGUCCGUCGGCUGGAAUCGUUUCAUAGCCAUGAUCCUUGGCUGAAUAGCUGUUGCUCCGAACGCGACCCUUCUGCGCAUCCACCAACAAAGCCGCAGCACUGUCCAGCGGACUGACCCCCAAUCCAUCUUGCUGCUGUUUCCUUGCCAGAAUAGGUGAGCUGUUUUGGGAGGACGGCGAGUUUCUCGAGAAUUUGUGCUUUUUCAUCACCUACGGUUAUUAAUGGUGAGUCAGAGGUACUAUGUGGUACUGGCAGACAUUCUUACCUUAGCGUACAUGCCCUCAAUGUUUUUGUUGCCCUCGCCUUCCUUGGAGGGACUUAGACUUUUGCUAUGCUUGCGCUGUGGCGACGCCUCUCCAGAUUCCGCCUCGUGUCCUUCCGCGCCCGCUUCGAUCACUGAUAUGACCGAAUUCCGCCCAGACGCUAGGUUGCUAAUACUACCGGCCUGCAGAUGGUGCGCCUGGCCCACAAUUGCCUUGGGCGUCGGUGGUAGUGGUGAAUUCGCCUGACGUUUCUCAGGUUUGGGUGAACCCAAAUUGCAGACAGACGAGCUAUUGUUCGAUGAGGAUGACGCCUGACGCGAGUGCAUUUGGGCUCGCAAACUGUCCACAGGCGGUGGAACAGGCAUAGCAUGAUCAGCACCACUGCUGCUGGUGGGUCGGACGGCGGAUGUACUGGCGGUCGGAAGACUGCUGCUGUUAUUGAUCUCGACAGCCACCACUAUGGGAUUGGCCUGCAUAGGCUGGAUUUGCGCGUACGUCUCCGAUCCGCUAGUGU
Molecule: non-coding RNA, 1043 nt
Organism: Drosophila melanogaster (fruit fly)
Lineage: Eukaryota; Metazoa; Arthropoda; Insecta; Diptera; Drosophilidae
Source: Ensembl